CUCCUUACCCUUGGGAAGUGAGCACGCGCAGUGCGUUUAGGAAGUUGUACGCAUACCCAACUGAAGCUUUCUUCCCUUCUCCAGUGGAGUGCACCUGCACAGAAACUCUCUCUGUACCACGUACCUGCUGCCAGAAGCUGGGAAGGAGUGGUGCUGGUGAUUCAAAACUGAUUUUCCUGCCUCUUCGAUGCCUCUUUUAGUGACAUACAGUUAAGACCAGGCACUCAAUGUGUGAAAGAGCCUCUUUCCCUACUGCUUCACCAAGUUUAAAACUUCAAAUUUUUUCAACUUGAUAGGGUAUAACCAGGAGUUGCGAAGUGGUCGUAGUUGUUCAUGUCUCAAUCUGGAUCAUCUUUGCUUUUUGCUUCUGCUUUGUGCUAUCCCUCUUCCCGUACCUCAGUUCUAUCUGGAACCAUGAUCUGUGACUGCCAUGGAAAAGUGUUGGGCAGGAGGAGGCCAGCUGGGUCUUUGAAGUUGACAAUGGAGCCAGGAAUGAAAGCUGCACUUAGGAUGAGAAUUGCUUUCCCUGGAGCCAAGUCAGCAAAUGCAGUCUGGUUGUCAGAGCUGAGAGGCUUCACCAAGUCAAGUAGGGGAGGACAUCUUCACUCUGCAACUUGCCCUACUGAAUGCAGAAAGUACUGUCUACUUAGAUAAAGCCUACACUAAAAGGGAAUUGAAUCUCUGCAAAUAAGUAUGUGGAUCUAAUUUCUACCUUCCAGAUUAAAA
This 726-nucleotide long non-coding RNA is filed under the name Homo sapiens (human). RNAcentral's name for it is "HSALNT0361785". Lineage: Eukaryota; Metazoa; Chordata; Mammalia; Primates; Hominidae. The record is from RNAcentral.